Molecule: small nucleolar RNA, 136 nt
Organism: Sander lucioperca (pikeperch)
Lineage: Eukaryota; Metazoa; Chordata; Actinopteri; Perciformes; Percidae
Source: Ensembl
GCCUUGUGGUUCCUGUAGUCAGAUACAAAGUUCUGAACUGUGGGUUUUUGUAAAGAGGCGCGAUAUUGAUUCUGCGAUUUUAUGCAUGGAAGCUGCCACUAUAGCAGCCUUCCAUAGCCCGGUUGCAGAUACAUUG